AGUGAACGCUGGCGGUAGGCCUAACACAUGCAAGUCGAACGGCAGCACAGUAAGAGCUUGCUCUUACGGGUGGCGAGUGGCGGACGGGUGAGGAAUACAUCGGAAUCUACUUUUUCGUGGGGGAUAACGUAGGGAAACUUACGCUAAUACCGCAUACGACCUACGGGUGAAAGCAGGGGAUCUUCGGACCUUGCGCGAUUGAAUGAGCCGAUGUCGGAUUAGCUAGUUGGCGGGGUAAAGGCCCACCAAGGCGACGAUCCGUAGCUGGUCUGAGAGGAUGAUCAGCCACACUGGAACUGAGACACGGUCCAGACUCCUACGGGAGGCAGCAGUGGGGAAUAUUAGACAAUGGGCGCAAGCCUGAUCCAGCCAGACCGCGUGGGUGAAGUAGGCCUUCGGGUUGUAAAGCCCUUUUGUUGGGAAAGAAAAGCAGCAGGUUAAUACCCCGCUGUUCUGACGGUACCCAAAGAAUAAGCACCGGCUAACUUCGUG
RNAcentral lists this ribosomal RNA (492 nucleotides) under uncultured bacterium. Its description in RNAcentral is "partial 16S ribosomal RNA". It matches the Rfam family "Bacterial small subunit ribosomal RNA", at positions 29 to 507 of the family's 1533-position model. The record is from RNAcentral.